This 105-nucleotide ribosomal RNA is filed under the name Staphylococcus coagulans. Its description in RNAcentral is "partial 16S ribosomal RNA". It matches the Rfam family "Bacterial small subunit ribosomal RNA", at positions 1436 to 1533 of the family's 1533-position model. Lineage: Bacteria; Bacillati; Bacillota; Bacilli; Caryophanales; Staphylococcaceae. The record is from RNAcentral.
UAACCAUUUGGAGCUAGCCGUCGAAGGUGGGACAAAUGAUUGGGGUGAAGUCGUAACAAGGUAGCCGUAUCGGAAGGUGCGGCUGGAUCACCUCCUUUCUAAGGA